RNAcentral lists this ribosomal RNA (465 nucleotides) under uncultured bacterium. RNAcentral's name for it is "partial 16S ribosomal RNA". It matches the Rfam family "Bacterial small subunit ribosomal RNA", at positions 338 to 795 of the family's 1533-position model. The record is from RNAcentral.
CCUACGGGGGGCAGCAGUAGGGAAUUUUCGUCAAUGGGCGCAAGCCUGAACGAGCAAUGCCGCGUGAACGAGGAAGGUCUUCGGAUCGUAAAGUUCUGUUGACGGGGAAAAAGAGCGGAGAGAGGAAAUGGUCUCCGAUUGAUAUUACCCUUCGAGGAAGUCACGGCUAACUACGUGCCAGCAGCCGCGGUAAUACGUAGGUGGCGAGCGUUAUCCGGAAUGAUUGGGCGUAAAGGGUGCGUAGGCGGCCUGCUAAGUCUGGAGUGAAAGGUACCGGCUCAACCGGUACAGGCUCUGGAAACUGGCGGGCUAGAGAGCAGGAGAGGGCGGUGGAACUCCAUGGGUAGCGGUAAAAUGCGUAGAUAUAUGGAAGAACACCAGUGGCGAAGGCGGCCGCCUGGCAUGUUGACUGACGCUGAGGCACGAAGGCGUGGGGAGCAAAUAGGAUUAGAUACCCCAGUAGUC